UUUCUUUUAUCCAACCACAACAGUCAUUACCAUAUGGUAACUAAGUGCACCAAACAUUUUCUAUUCCAUUAACUGACACAUACAUAUAGUUCAUUUGUUCCAAACAUAAUCACCAAGACACCAUACAUCAGGUUCACAAAAGGUAACUUGGUGGUACUAUUAUUUCUGAUUCAUUGUCCGAGACACCAUACAUCAGACUCACAAAAGGAUAGCUAAGAGGUGAAUGUCCAAUGUAAAAAUAUACAAAACAUCCAGUUGGAGCGAACCUCGGCUACUUGUUUAUUAGUCCUCAUGCAUAUCUCUCCUACAAAAGAAACACAUUGUAAGUCAAAAAGGUGGAUUUUAAAUUUUCUGCAUCAAAUGGGGAUAUUGUGCCAUCUUUUUUAUACAAGUAAAUUCACAUGAAAAUUAGCAAAGUGGCAGCAGCAUAAUAUACUGGAAAACAGUACAGCAAGCUGGAAAAUAGCAGGCAGUAGCAACAGAAGCACAACAAAAUCAACACAACAGAAGCACACCCACAAGCAUAUAGAAUAGGCAGCAGCAUCAGCCAUCAUCACACCAUCAAGCAUAGAAGAUCCAUACAGCAUACACAUCAGCGAGCAAGCGUGCUAGCAGCCACCAACUAACAACCAGCGGUAGCACUUCUACAACCAGUGAUGACCAUCAAGUGUGUUCGUGAAACUAGGAAACUUGGAUAUAAUUAUAAACACAGAAUAUUGAUUGUUAUCCUGCAACUUAGAUAAUAAAAGGAUUUAGACUAGACCUUUAUGUGCUGAUAAUAUUUUUGGCCUAGGGCAGAUCAACAAGCAACGAGACGUACCUAUGAGUCUACAACUACCAGUUCAAGCAAUCAUAUCAGAAAGCAUCUACAACAAUAUUUGAUGGGUAUAAACCAGUUCUAUUUUUCCAUGGGAAGGUUUCCAUAGUUUGUUCUCAUGUCAUAUGCAUAAUAUAGUGCACUACAGUAACACAAAGAAGUCAAAUAACAGGUUGUGGUCAUUGAAAGCCACAAUCCUAGUGGACACUGUUUAAAAUCAUGGACUAUAAAAUAUGGAAUAUAAUAGAAUGUGCCACUGCGCAGAAUAUUUUAACAUUCAGAACCACCCAACAUCCCCUUUUCCUAGUAGCAAUUUUUUUAUCUUGCCAAAAAGCACAGUCUGGAGGAUGUUCACCAUUAGAAGUCAUUAUGAACAUGAAACAACUAACAUCGUAAAGGGAAAAGAACUGCAUCAACAAAUUGUAUUCAGGAAUCCACCUUAUCAAUUGAAACAAUAUCUUGGCACAUACACAAUUACACACGCAAAUGCACAAGCCGCGAUAAUUCACUAAAUUGGUCGUAUUAGACUCAUGGAUUUCGAGUCGCUCGACUAGUCGCGACU
This 1379-nucleotide long non-coding RNA is filed under the name Triticum aestivum (bread wheat). RNAcentral's name for it is "long non-coding RNA (TAES_LNC022384)". Lineage: Eukaryota; Viridiplantae; Streptophyta; Magnoliopsida; Poales; Poaceae. The record is from RNAcentral.